GGAGUUCGAUUAAGCCAUGCGAGUCGUGAGUCUUAGGGACUCGGCAUACUGCUCAGUAACACGUGGAUAACCUGCCCUAUCGUCUGGAAUAACCUCGGGAAACUGAGUAUAAGGCCGGAUAGUUCACAAUGCCUGGAACGGUUUGUGAAUCAAGGUAGGAUGGGUCUGCGGCGUAUCAGGUUGUAGGGGGUGUAAAGGACCCCCUAGCCUUCGACGCGUACGGGUGUUGGGAGACAUAGCCCGGAGAUGGAUUCUGAGACACGAAUCCAGACCCUACGGGGUGCAGCAGGCGCGAAAACUUCACACUGCAGGAAACUGUGAUGAGGGAACUCCUAGUGCAUGCACUAUGUGUAUGUAGAUCCUACUCUUAACAAGUAGAGGGAAAGGGCUGGGAAAGACCGGUGCCAGCCGCCGCGGUAAUACCGGCAGCUCAAGUGGUCGUCGCUUUUAUUGGGCCUAAAACGUCCGUAGCCUGUUUGGUAAAUCUGUGUGUAAAUCAAUCCGCUCAACGGAUUAAU
Molecule: ribosomal RNA, 518 nt
Filed under: uncultured euryarchaeote
Lineage: Archaea; Methanobacteriati; Methanobacteriota
Description: bacterial SSU rRNA
Rfam family: Archaeal small subunit ribosomal RNA
Source: RNAcentral